GCAACAAUUGCAAAAACACCCCUCCACGAAACAGCCCAAACUGCACUGCGUACCGAUACACGGGUUUGUGUACCGGUACACAUCCCAUGAACCAGCCCAACCCGAGCCUCGGGUUGGCACACAGGCUGUCAGGGCCGAUGGCUGUACCGAUACAGCCAUCACCGCGUAUCGGUACACGGCACUGCAGCAUGCUAGCCGAGAGCACACCAAAAUCCAACCUUUUGGGUUUUGGUGCCAAGUUUUAAACCUCAAUUCUCUGGACUCGAACCAUAGGUCGGAACACUAUCCACGACCCUCCAUGAAGUGUGGAAAAGUUCGAAACACAAAUCAAAUACUCGAACCUCACUAUUUGCGACGGUUCGGUGUGUUACAUUCACCCCUCCUAAAAAGGAGUUUCGUCCGUGAAACUCGAAAGCAUCGUACCUCAAGCCUCCAUCUGAAAAAGAUGGGGAUAGCGCUCCCGCAGUGCGCUCUCCAACUCCCAAGUGGCCUCGCGCUCGUCGUGGUUGCUCCAAAGCACCUUCACGUAGGGAAUCUCACGGUUCCGCAAUCUCUUCACCUCGCGAGCCAAAAUCCUUAAAGGUUGCUCCUCAAAGCUCAAAUCCUCAUGCAGCUCCACUGGUAUAGCCUCCAAAACAUGAGCUGGGUCAUGUACCUCCGUAGGACCGAUACAUGAAAGACAUUGUGCACGUCCGAUAGAUUCGGCGGUAGGGCAAGUCGAUACGCUACCGGACCUACACGCUCCAAUACCUCACACGGUCCAAUGAAAUGGGGGCUCAACUUUUCCUGAAUCCCAAAUCUCUUGAUUCCUCUAGUCGGUGAGACCUUCAAGAAAACAUGGUCUCCAACUUGGAACUCCAAGUCUCGUCGUCGUCGGUCGGCGUAGCUCCUCUGUCUGCUCUGCGCUGUCAAAAGUCGCUCCCGAGCAAUUCGAACUUUAUCGUCAGCUUCCUGGAGCACAUCUGGCCCCAAAGCCAAUCUAUCGCCAACUUCACUCCAAUGAAGUGGCGAUCUACACUUCCGUCCAUAAAGUGCUUCGAACGGUGCUAUCUUGAUGUUUGCUUGAUAACUAUUGUUAUAAGCAAACUCCGCCAUAGGUAGAUGCUGCGACCAUCCUCCCUAGAAGUCUAUCACACAUGCUCGGAGCAUAUCCUCUAAAGUCUGUAUGGUGUGCUCCGACUGCCCAUCACCCUGAGGGUGGAAAGCGGGGCUAAAAUCCAGUCGAGUGCCUAAGGCGCCCUGUAGACUCCUCCAAAAGUGAGACACAAACCGGGUGUCUCGAUCUGAUACGAUCGACGUGGGCACUCCGUGAAGUCGCACAAUCUCAUCAAGGUACACUUGUGCGAGCUUCUCCCCGGUCCAAGUAGUGUGAAUAGGUAUGAAGUGCGCCGACUUCGUCAACCUAUUCACAAUCACCCAAAUAGCAUCAUGCCAAGCCUGAGAGCGGGGCAAUCCAAUCACGAAAUCCAUGGUGAUCUUCUCCCACUUCCACACGGGAAUAGGCAAACUCUGAAGUUUUCCCGCGGGAACUCGAUGCUCAGCCUUUACCUGUUGGCAAGUUAGGCAACGAGCUACAAACUCGCCAAAGUCCUUUUUCAUUCCGGGCCACCAAUAAAGCAGCUUUAAAUCCUUAUACAUCUUGGUGCCUCCCGGAUGUAUAGUGUACGGUGCUCGGUGCGCUUCUUGAAGAAUGUCCUCUUUAAUUCUCGAAUCCGCCGGUAUACAAAUCCGUCGACGGAAACGCAUCAAUCCCUGGUCAUCCACAAGAAAAUCGCUGAUGCGACCAUCAACCAUUUUACCUUUAAUCUUUUGCAACUCCACAUCGGAAGCUUGCUUUUUUUUAAUCCUGUCCAAAAGUGUAGGUUGCACAACCAAGGUCAUCAACCUCAAAGGUGUAUCCGGAGUCACUACCUCCAACUCCAACCGCUUCAUCUGCUCGAUCAACUGCGGUUGGGUCACAACAAGCAUCGCUAAGUUUUCCGUCGAUUUCCGACUUAGCGCAUAAGCCACCACGUUAGUCUUGCCUGGGUGGUAGAGAAUCGUCAAAUCAUAAUCUUUGAGCAGUUCCAACCAUCUGCGCUGUCUCAGGUUCAACUCUUUCUGAGUGAAUAAGUACUUCAAACUCUUGUGAUCCGUGUACACUUCACACCGCUCACCGUAAAGAUAGUGGCGCCAUAACUUCAAUGUGAAGACUACGGCCACCAGCUCCAAAUCAUGCGUCGGGUAGUUUUUUUCAUAUUCCUUUAAUUGGCGCGAAGCAUACGCGAUCACUCUGCCAUCCUGCAUCAACACACAACCAAAUCCAUUAAGUGAGGCAUCACUAUAAACCACAUACCCUGCUCCAGCCAUCGGCAGGGCUAGGAUCGGGGCGGUCGUCAAUCUCUGCUUCAACUCUUGGAAGCUUCUCUCGCAUGCAUCAUUCCAAAUGAACUUGACUCCUUUAUGUGUGAGUCUCGUGAGGGGAGUAGACAGCUUGGCGAACCCCUAAACAAAUCUCCGGUAGUACCCGGCCAAUCCAAGAAAACUGCGAAUCUCCGUGACGCUCGUCGGUCUCGGCCAAUCCCUGAUAGCCUCAAUCUUCUUGGGAUCCACCGCAAUACCUGAUCCCGAUAUCAAAUGUCCAAGGAAGGCUACCUCCCGAAGCCAAAAUUCACACUUUUUCAGCUUGGCAUAGAGCUCAUUUUCCCGAAAUACUUGAAGUACAAGCCUCAAAUGCUCCUCGUGCUCUGCAUCACUUCGGGAAUAAACCAAAAUAUCGUCGAUGAACACCACGACGAACCUGUCUAGAUAUGGCUUAAAAAUACGGUUCAUUAGAUCCAUAAAAGCUGCCGGGGUAUUAGUAAGCCCAAACGGCAUAACAGUGAACUCAUAAUGUCCAUACCGUGUUCUGAAAGCCGUCUUCGAUACAUUAUCGGGUUUGAUCUUUAACUGGUGGUAUCCCGACUGCAAAUCGAUCUUGGAAUAUACACACGAUCCUUGAAGCUGAUCAAACAAGUCGUCGAUCCUCGGCAACGGAUACUUAUUUUUUAUCGUGACUUUAUUAAGUUCACGAUAGUCCACACAUAGGCGUAGCGAUCCGUCUUUCUUCUUGACGAACAAAACUGGCGCUCCCCAAGGCGAGACGCUCGGUCGAAUGAAGCCUUUAUCUAGCAGAUCCUGUAGUUGUGCCCUCAGCUCCUUCAGCUCCGCCGGUGCCAUCCUAUAGGGUGCCUUCGAGAUUGGAGUAGUCCCAGGGACGAGAUCUACCACAAACUCGAUCUCCCUAUCGGGUGGCAUACCCGGUAGCUCAGCUGGAAACACAUCCUGAAACUCCCGUACCACCGGGAUAUUCUCAAUCCUAAGGGUGUCAUCCUCGCCCCUCAACAAAACACUAGCCAAGUAGGCUACACAUCCACGGCUGAUCAGCUGCCUAACUCGAGACGAGCUGAUCGACAUCGCAAAAAGCGAACUUCGGCAUCCUCUAAACACGACCUCAGUCUGUCCCGGUUUUCUAAAUGUAACCGUACGAUUCAUACAAUCAAUCGUGGCAUAAUACUUGGUUAGCCAAUCCAUACCCAAGACCACAUCGAAAUCCCCUAGCUUGCGCAAAGCUAACAAAUCUACGGGCAUGAUCCAAUCUCCUAUCAGAACAGGGCAACUAGGGCAAUACUCUCUAAUAUCUAGAGUGUGGUUGGGUACUACAACAUGUCCCGGAUGCAACAAGAAAACCAAAGGGAUGCCAUGCAACUCGGCAAACAGCCGAUUUAUAAAUAAAUGUGAUGCACCGGUAUCAAAUAAAGCACAAACUCUAAUGCCAUCAAGUAAAAUGAUACCUGCAACCACAUCCUCGGCUGCUGCAGCCUUCUCAGUCUGAGCGGCAUACAAACGCCCACUCGGGGCCUAUCGAGAUCCCUCGCUCUGGCGCUGGACGGGUGGCCGCCCAGGCUGGUACUGUGUCGACGGAGUCCUGUGGCUAACGGCUGGUAGAGCCGGUGCCGAUGCAGUCGACGGUGCCGGUGAAGAACCUCUCGGGCACUCAGUACGGAUGUGGCCUUCCUGGCCACACUGGUAGCACCUGCCCGCCCGCUGCGGACACUGCAGUAGGUGAUGAGGGCCACCGCAGAUCACACACUGGGAGGGCCGGCGACGAUCAGGUCCUCCUCGAUGCGCCGCUGAGCCGCGUCCUCGCAGCUGGCUCCUAGGAUGCUUCGGCGGCUUUCUAGAGUGCGUCUGACUCGCACCCUCUGCCGCAGGCCUCUUGGCCUUAACUUUGUCCAUCGCCUCUCGCCGCUUCUGAACCUUUGCUGCGCCGCUCUCCACUAUGAGCGCGCGAUCUACCACCUCCAAGUAGGUUUGGAGGUUAGAGGAUUGCACAAACCGGAAGAUCGACGGUCGCAACCUUCGCUCGAAGAUGCGGGCCUUGUCCUCGUCAUCCCGCACGACGAAAGGCACGCAGUGAAGAAGCCGAGAAAACUCUCUCUCGUACUCGGCUACGGUCCGAUCACCUUGGCGCAAGUUGCGCAAGUCCUGCUCCAUUUUCCGCUUUACACUAGUCGGAAAGUAGUGCGCCGACAGAAGCUCCUUGAACUUCUUCCAUGUAAUAGCCGCCAAGUCGGUGCUGGGGUUCUCCUGAAGAUCCAACCACCAGCGAUAGGCCUCGCCGUCCAGGUGGUGAGUGGCAAGCCAGACUCGAUCUCUCUCCUCCACGAAGGUGUCGCGGAAGAGCUUCUCCUUAUGCAUUAACCACUUUUUCACGAUCCAGUGGUCGAUCUUUUCGCCGUCAAAGAUCCGGGGACCGCACAUCCUGAACACGUUGAGGCGCUCCAUCAGUCGGUCCCGCUCUGCUCCCUCUACCAUCACAGGGAAAACAGUUCCAAUCGGGGGUGCCUGAACAGGUAGCGCCGCCAAAGCUUCCUCCUGAGGCGUAGCCACGGGCGCUGCUCGCGAAGAACUGGGCGUGGGGGAUGGCGCUCUCGGCGCGACGUCCACGACUGGUGCUGGCGGUGUAGGGACCUGAGUCUCUCGAGCCUCCACCUGCUGCAGCAGGAGAUCCUCCAGACGCUUCAUCCGCGCCUCCUGUCGGCGCGCCGCCUCAGUCUGCUGUGCCACCAUAUCAGUGAGGGCCGCAAGCUGGCCCCUAAACUCUCGGACCUCGCCGGAUCCGGAGGUAGCGGAGGUCUCGACCUCCUCCAAGUUUGCCGCAUUAUCCGCUCCAGCUGAUUGAGAGCGUGUGAUCGGCAUCGCACUACAACAUCAUAAAAGCGCAAGUUAGUAAAACUCACGCUAUCGCAUCCCCACUCAAAUAGACAAUACCCAAAUCAUGCAAAAGUAAGGUAGUGUUCUUCACCACUAACUCCCGAUGUUACGUUGUCGGCCGCCAACAUAACCGUCCGCGAAGUUAGAGGCCAUACACUUCGAUCAACUCCAACUUUUUAGAGUUAUCAAGAUACCCAAUCAUAUACUUUCGCUCACAAGUCAAAUAGACCUCGUCUCUCACGAGCCUAUUUCCUAUAGUCCAAACGGCCUAAGGUUUGCUAGGUCCACUAAGACUAAACCCUAGGCUUUGAUACCAAACUAAUCUGUCACGCCCCGGGACCUAACGGAAGCCCGCCCGGCGCGUGCCCAGACCCGCCGUACGUCUAAAACAUACAAGGCGUCUAAAAUAAAGCGGUAAAUAAAGCAAUAAAAGAAAGUAUUUAGGAGUAUCAGAGCAAAGCACUACGAAGUGCUACAACACGGAGAAGAUCCUAAAACUGAUAAUCCACUAAGGAAAACACAAGAUAAUACAAACGGAGUCCCAUAACAAGUACUAAUUUGAAUACAAGGUAGUCUCUCUAUACAUGGUGCAAAAUCUCUCCCUCUCUCUAACACAAACAGAAUAAGGAGUAACCACCUAUAGCAAAACGGACUCUCUCCGAGCUAGCUAUGCGACACCCUUGCCACGAUCCCGUGCCUCCGCCGAUACCGAAGGCUCUGAAAAGGAAACAUAGAAACAGUGGCGUGAGAACUAUUAAAUAAUAGUUCCCAGUGGGCAAUUAUUGAUUAGUGAAAUGCGGCUUACAGGCCCCAAAACUAACAAAAGAGCGGUCAAUGUGAAGCAUAAACAAAAGCGAUAAAUACAACGGGUAAGUAAAGAUGUGUCACGCCCCGAGCCGCCCUCUUUGGUCGGAUUCGGCACGCCAACAGACCGCCGAACGGACAGGGUUUCCCGCACGCGGACAGAGUCUCCCCUGUACGUUCAAGGCGUCGUAUAUCAAUACAAUUACAAGAGGUUCCAACAGGAACAAUUAUCAACAACGAUUGCAUAAGGAAGGUAUCAAACAACAUAACACAUCCUUAUAUUAUUACAUCAUUUAUCUCAUCAUUUACAUCGCAUUUUUUCAUUACAUUGAUUCUCAACUUCCAAAUUACAAUCGAUUUCUAAACAUAAUAUUACAACAUCGAUUCUUUUCUUUUCUUUUCUAUACCCCAAAGAAGCCGACUCAGGUGCGCUGCUAUUGGUCUCUGUGGUAGGCGGCUAACUACGGAGCUACGCCUUUCCUCGGGCCGUCGCGCCGCUCGCGUGUGAACUUGUACCCCCAAAACAACAACACGGGGUGAGACUAUUGUCCAUAGUCGUCAGUGGGUACAGCCACCAAGUGAAAAGCUCAACCCACCAGGUCCAAAGGAGGCACUGCAACAUGUUAGUCCAACAGAUAUAUACAUAUAACAUCAUGCAAACAUGUCAUGCCUCACAAAUAUGCAAAUUAUGCAACUCUUAGUCAUUCUUUACCAUUAGCCUUUCUUAGAAUAUGCAAUUCUUUAUCAUUAGCCAUUCUUUAUUCUUUAUUCUUUAUUCUUUAUCUUUAUUCUUUAUUCUUUAUUCUUUGCUAAGGGCACAUCUCGCACCUUAGGCGCAUUAUACACAUUGUCAUCUUAUAACAUUAACAAACGUUUCUCAAUUGUCAUUCUUUCUCAAUUGUCAUUCUUUCUCAGGGUACCUUUACCCUAGCCAACUAUGCCACUCGACUCGGCUUGAGUCAAUUCAUAAUGAAUACAGAUCAACUUUCCAAUUCAUGAUCCUUUUUGUUCUUUGUUCUUUAAUCUCCGGCUAACCGGGGGUUUCGCCACAUUAAACUUGCUUCACAUUAAGUCCAUCAUCGCAGGAACUCACCCGCUAGGACCGUCCUUACGGGUCUACUCCAACCCGGAGCCAAACUCCGAGGCAUCGCCGCGGGGAGCGACCGCCCUCGAGCACGGAACUAUAGCAAGUAUGAUCAAUCCUUAACUCUAAGGAUAUGUAGUUGGAUCAUGAUUUUCACUAACUCUAGUGUUCUUUACAUCACUUUAUGUUGCCGACUCUAGCAAUAUGUUCUUUACAUCUCUUUUACUUUGCUAACUCUAGCAAUCACGUUUUUCACAUUCCUUUACUUUAAGCUAUCUUUAGCUUUCACAUUCUUUUAACUUACACGUUCUUUAGCCACAUACAUUACAUUGUCUUUAGCCAUCAUCAUUAUUCUUUACAUCACAUUGCUUUGCCUGUCUCAAGCCAUUAUCAUUAGGUUCACAUUACAUUCAUGCAUACACAUAGAUUAUUAGAUUCUUAAUCAUUCUAUAAGCACGUGUACUCACAUCAUGCAACAUUACAUUAUUAUCAUCACAUUGUUUUACAUUAUCUUUAGCCAUUAUCAUUGUUCUUUACAUCACAUUUAUUCUUUGAUGUCCCACACUAACUCUAGUGUUCACUUUACCAUUUCGAAUCCACUCGAUCUAUGUUCAACAUGCAUAAUUUUGUCAUCCAUUGGUAGUAUUACUUAGCAUUUUAUGCAUUCGUUAAACAUUUACUACAUGCAUUCUCGUUAGUACAAAUCUCAUACUUUCAUUUGACAUCUAUUUAGCAUUUCUAUAAUAUGCACAUAUAAAUUAACAUCAACUCAUGCAUUCAUUUGGCGUCUAUCUUUAUCCAUGCAUUCUUAAUUAGCAUACUUUAUCAUGCAUUCUCAAUAGCAUACUUUAAUCUUUAUCAUGCAUUCUAAAUAGCAUACUUUAUCAUGCGUCAUAGUAAACAUACUACACUUUAGCAUGGAAAGUGACCUAAUCCUUCGGUAAGCACAACCACCUCAUUUCGCAUUCCGAUUGCUUGUCGACACUUGCAAUCGGCUCCGCGGACCCGUAACCCGCGUUUGGCCCGAUCUCUCACAGCGACCACCGAACGGCCUCCAAUUCACGAUCCGAAAAUUAAAGGUCUUCGGUUAUGUGCCACGAAGCUUCAAAUCUUUUCAUGAAUUUACGAUAUCGCCUCGCCGCCUCCGGCGGACCCGAAGCCUAAACGUCCGUUUCUUUAUAACUCGCAACGGCUCGUCGGAUUGCCGAACCGUCUUCGCCAACGCGAGUUCGUUUUACCUAGCAAUUAGGUUUAUAUAGGGUCAAUUUAGAUCAACCUUACAUUUUAUAAACCCCAUUCGAGCCUAAUAUGCUAUUAACCUCAAAAUAAUCCAAAAUUAAAUGGAUCAACAUGCUAACAAAGCUCAUUAGAGGCUAUUAGAAUACUUAAGCUAAGGAUUAAGUCAAAUCCCAAAAGCUUACCUCAAUGUGAACGCCCGCGACGAAAAUAACGCCGCCAACGGGCGCACGAAAUCAAUCCGUCGCCUCCAACGCGUUCGCCAAGCUCGAUCGCCACCAACCCUCUAAUUUUUAAAGAGAGAUAUAGAGAGAUGAGAGAGAUAUUUAGAGAGAGAAAGGAGGGUUUCUCCCCCUUUCAUGCGUGCGUGGUGUGGGUGUGUCGGCCAUGGUGGUCGGCUGAUGAGGAGAAAAAGCUAAUUAGCUUCUAAUUAAAGUCAACACCAAACACUAUUCACUCCAGGCAACUUAAAAUCUGAUAUCUUUCGCCGAGCUCCCUGAGUACCGUUUGAGCUCAAACUUGACAGUCAUGUUCGUUUACUUACUUAACAAGCUGACGAUCACUGGUUAGUUUCGACCCCGUUUGGUCACUGAAAACUGUACCGAACUACAAUCUUUAUUAGAUAGCUUGGAUUUUAUUUCUCACUCUAUGUGUGUCAGAAAAAUAUGAAACCUUAAAUCUUAGCCUCAUAAAAAUAUUUCUGACAUCGUCGCCAAUUUUCAUAAUUUUUGAGACUGUGCUUUUCUGCUUAUUUUUUCUGUCCGUCUCAACAGAAAAUUCUAGAUUCUGUUUUAAUUCCGAUUUCGCACAAGUUCACCCUGACUUAUGUUUACCUCUAUAUACAAUAAAAAUAGUUUCUCACACAUUUUUAUUUAUUAUAUUUUUAUACCAAAAUCUGGUAAUUUACAUUCUCCACCCUUAAAAAGAAUUUUCGUCGCGAAAUUCAAACACACCUCAAUUCAGCUCCUCGAGCAAUUGAGGGCACCAAUGCACUUUUUCCACUUCGGAAUCGCUUUAACCUUUGAAACUAUCCAGACUACUACGGAGCUCAUUAACACCAAACGCAUCCAACUUUGCAAGGCCACAUCUCGCAAAGUGCUUACGGUCUCCGUCACUCUAGGUGGUAGCGCAAGUCGCAAACUCGACGACUCUACGCGCUCCAACCCCACUUGUCACUUGGCAGCAAGAAACCUUCUUUGCAUUGACUUCUCCUUCAGGGAAUACAUUCCUAUUCGAUCACCGACAUGCUUAAAAGCGAUAUCACCGUGUGCAUCGCUUGUCUGUGAGUGCAUCUAAUUUCGCACAGAUCUUUAGCUCUAACAUGAGAUAGCCACCUCGGCGCCUCCCAAUUCCAAAUCCUCAAAUUCCACGUGGCUUGCACAGCUCAAGGUCUCACAAGGAGCACUUCUCAUUUCUAAUACCAUAUGCCACGGUCAACAUUGAACUUAUUUCGCAACGACUCACACGAACGCUUCAUUCGUGCAUUCGAGGUUAGACUCCUCUGAUAAGGGCUAUCCGCCAAAGCUCUCUUCGGUCUCCACAGUUGCAAAGGCCCACAACUUACGUAGGCCUACCGCCUAACCUUUCUCAAUACGCAGCGUCUCUCGCUCGCAAUGCAGACCCAAUCAUCAUUGGGGCGAAAUUCUCACUUGGGGAAUUCGCACCACCUCCAACCAGGAGAACUAAGAUCCAAACCGUUACAGAUUCCCGGCGUUGGGAUCAACUCGCACUCUCAGUUACAUCAAUCCGACACAUACUCUAUACACAAUACGUACCACUAUCGCUCCUAUGACUACGUGCGAGCCACAGCCCACGAGUGAUCGUGGCACGCUUCACACCUAGCAAUGCUCAGGUGCUAGCAACACACUAUCCGGCUGAACUAAAUCUGCACUCCACGAGUAACUAUACUCGAGCGGCUAUAGCGUGUCUAUUAGCGUUCAACUUGUCAAGCAUCCGCCGCAACUUUGCCUAUGCACACGGCCACACGAGUAUGGCUCACCGUACUCGAUUCGAGGUUACUAUGAGCAAAAGCGCCAAUAGUUGGCAACAAACCGUUCCAUCGGAGCAACAUCCGGAUACUCGAACCAUUCGAGUGUCCACAAGUGUCACGUCCAAACUCUCGCAACCCUAUCAGCAUUCUCCUCUGCGAGUUAGUCGCUCACCUCCAUCUCUACUGUGAAUCUCAUCAUUAGACCAUCACUAGCAACUCGCUAGUGCACCAGUUCUCUACCUGCACCGCAGGUGCACGCUUCACCACAUAACGUGCCGGGUAUUUACAUUUAUCCGCUCACUUGACACCUUACAUGCUAUACAUAACAUUAGUAUUAAUUACGCUCAAUGAUGCAAUGCACCAACUUUACAUUAUGAACAGAAACAAUAACUCGAUUCCAUUAAUGGCUCAACCUGCAUGACUGUGUCAGCAGCAGUUCCAUAUCCGGACUAGUUCACGAUAGGGAGAGUUCCCGUUGUACUCUCUAACGAGUCGGUCUCGGCUUGCGCACUUCCUGAAUUGGCCUGAAGUUCUCCUUCACUGUCGGGGAAGUAAGUAAAGAUACCCACUCCCCGAAACUCAUCCAUGCAUGGAGGAAUACUAGGUGAUCGGUUCUGCGAAUGCUCUUGCCACCAUGCCUUUAAGCCGACUGUUUUCAAACAAUACACGGGCUAAGGUACGCUGUCCGCCUCCAAGGUAGACAGCUCCUCGAAGAGCUUUCCAUGCGAGUCAAUCCACGUAUCCCAAUCCCGAAUCACAGUUCUCCCAUCGAAGAUAGGUGAUCAAACUUUAUAAGGUCAUGAGGGCCUGUCACAAGCCCGCCCUUUUCCUUCUUUCGUUUCCUUUCUUCCUCCUCUCUUGCCUCUAAGAAGAAAAGAGAAUAUGAGAGGCGGUGUUUGGUGAGAAAUGAGAGAAAUAGAGCUCUCAUACUCCUCAAUAGACCCACAUGUGCAUAAGUGCAAACAAGCCUCUCAACUUACUCUUUUACACUACCCUGACUGGGCAUUUCAGGUUCGGCGGACGUCGUCUCCCGACAGAGGAUCGGUCCUGAGAGUCCUCCCGCGCGUCAGCAGGGUCUCACGCCGAUCAUCUGCGUCUCCCCGAUGGGCACCGGUCUCUGGGGACGCGUCUCUCCCAUGCAGGGACACUGUUCCCGAGAGCUGUUCACCGGGAUCUUAGCGAUUUUUCCUCCCUUUCGCUGUCUGCGCGUCGGGCGACGGUCUCUCCACCAGAAGACCGUCUCCCGGAGACAGAAAACCGUAGUUUACAGAUUUUGAUUCCCAAGAAGCUCUCGUAAGACGCCCAUAGUAACGCACUUGUGUCAUUAUUUGACGCUUCGCCUUUCCAGAAGUGCUAGCAACUCGCUCUUGGUCAAUUUUGACAAGUUCGAAUGUUCGCUUAUGCGAAGUUUCGGUAUAUUAAGCCUACAAUUUUUUUUUUUUUUUUUUCUCGGAGUCUCUUAAUUCGCUCCUGCCUGAGUGCUAUAGCAGCGCUCCUGCUGCGCUGCACAUCUGCUGUUGCCAUCACACAACCCAAGUGUGGCACCGCGUUGCAAAGUAUCCAAAUCUCUCGCUCGCCCUUGGAUUGCUCUGGGACAGUCACUGUGCCACCGCGUCGAUCUAAACGAAGAUCGCACGCGGGCGUAUCUACUCAGAACAACAACUCAACUUACUCUCACUUAUUAGUCGCGAGCAUAAACAAUUGAAUCAACUCAAUCCAUGGCGAAGUCAUACAAGGCAUCUAUUCUCAUCACUCCGUUUCAUGAUUUGCUACGCGUCAACACAGGAACACUAUCGAUUGAGAAUGACAACACCUUGGAUCUAACUCAAUCUCCUUUUUAGAGGGUUACAACACAAUCCCAAUCCCUUAACCUUUCGCCCAAAAGUCCAAGUCCUCGUCUCUCACGAGCCUUCAAUCUCCAUGGUUUACUAUCAUAUGGUCUCCUAGGUUCACUAAACCACUUUCCAUUCUCUACUUUAUUGCUCGUGAUACUAUCUUACUUCACCCCAUAAGCCGCCUCUUUGGUCGGCAUCGGCACGGCAACAGACCGCGCGAACGGACAGGGUUUCCCUGCACAGCGGACAGAGUCUCCCUGUACGGUUCAGCGUUCGCAUCAAUACAAUUACAAGAGGUCCAAACGACACAAUUAUCAAACAGAUUGCAUGCAGGAAGUAUCAAACAACAUAACACAUCCUAUAUGAUAUUACAAAAUUCAUCUCAUCAUUUUUACAUCGAAUUUUUUCAUUACAUUGAUUCUAACUUCCAAAUAUACAAUCGAUUUCUAAAACAUUAUAUAUGACAACAUCGAUUCUUUUCUUUUCUUUUUUAUACGCCCUAAGAAGCCGACUCAGGGUGCUGCUAUUGUGGUCUCUGUGUAGGCGUAAUACGGAGCUACGCCCUUAUCUCGGCGCGUCGGCCGCUCGCUUUGACCCUGUACCCCAAAACACCAACACCGGGGUGAGACUAUUGUCCAUGUCGUCAGUGGUACGCCACCCAAUGAAAAAGCUCAACGCACCAGGUCCAAAGAGGCACUGCCAACAUGUUAGUCAACAGAAUAUACAUAAACAUCGAUGCAAUACAUUCAUGCUCAAAAUAUGCAAAUUAGUGCAUCUAGUCAUUUUUCAUUACCUUUCAUUAGAAAUGCAAUUCUUUAUCAUUUACCAUUCUUAUCUUAUUCUUUAUAUCUUAUCUUUAUCUGUUUAAGGCAUCGGCCUAGGCGCAUUAUACACAUUUGCCAGUUCUUAUAACAUUAACAAACGUUUUCUCAAUUGUAAUUCUUUCAAUGUCAUCCUUCUACGGGUUAACCUUUCCCCUAGCACAACUAUGACAUCGACUACGGUUUGAGGUAAUUCAUAAUGAAUACAAGAUCAACUUUCCAAUAUUAUGGAUGCCCUUUUUGUCUUGUGUCUUAAUCUCACGGCUACCGGGGGUUUCGCCAAUUAAACUUGCUUCAACUUAAGUCCAUAUCGCAGGAAUCACCCGCUAGGACCAGUCCUUACGGGUCUACUCCAACCCGAUGCCAAACUCCGGAGCGCAUCGUCCCGAGGGGAGCGACGCCUCGAGCACGGAACUCAUAGCAAGUUGAUCAAUCCUUAACUCUAAAGGACUAUGUAGUUGGAUCAUGGUUUUUCACUAAUCUCUAGUGUUCUUUACAUCACUUUAUGUUCCUCUAGCAAUCAUUGUCUUUACAUCUUUUUUACUUUUGCUAACAUCUAGCAAUCACGUUUUUUCAAUUCUUUACUUAAGCUAUCUUUUAGCUUCACAUUCUUUAACUUUUACACGUUCUGAUAGGCCACGAUUACAUUACAUUGUCUUUUAGCCAUCAUCAUUAUUCUUAUCUCACAUUGCUUUGCCUUGUCUUCAAGCCAUUAUCAUUAGGGUUUCUACAUUACAUCUCAUGCAUACACAUGCUUAUUUAGAUUCGUUAAUCAUUCUAAUAGCACGUGUACUCACAUUCAGCAACAUUACCAUUAAUAUCCAUUUUCCCACAUUGUUUUACAUGUAUCUUUAGCCAUUAUCUUGUUUUUACAUACAAUUUAUUCUUGUGUCCCACACUAACUGCUAGUGCUCCACUUUACCAUUUCGAAUGCACUUCGAUCUAUGUUUCAACAAAAACAAAGAUAAUUAUUUUGUCAUUCCAUUGGUGUCAUUACUUAGCAAUUUUAUGCAUUCUUUAACAGUUUUUACUACAUGCAUUCUGGUUAGUACAAAUCUCAACUUGCACUUGACAUCUAUUUAGGCAAUUUCUAUAAUAUGACACAUAAAAGUAACACAACUCAUGCAGUCAUUGCGUCUAUCUUUAUCAGCAGUCUUAAUUAGCAUACUUUAUCAUGCUCUCAAAUAGCAUACUUUAAUCUAUAUCAUGCAUUCCUUAAUAGCAUAACUUUUCAUUGCGUCAAUAUAAACAGACUUAACACUUUUUAGCGCUGGAAAGCGAUCUAAUCGACUUCGGGUAAGCCACAACACCGUCAUUUCGCAUUCCGUUGCUUGGACAUUGCAAUUCGGCUCCCGCGGCACCCGUUAAUCCGUUUGCUCCGAUCUCUCACGGCGACCACCCGAACGGCCUCCAAUUCACGAUACGAAUUAAAGCGUCUUCGGUUAUGUGCACGAAGCUUCAAAUCCAUUUUCAUGAAUUUACGAUAUCGCUCGGCCCUCCCGCGCGGACCGAAGCGCUAAACGUCUGUUCUGUUAAUGAACUUCGCAACGGCUCGUCGAUUGCCGACCGUCGCGCCAACGCUAGUUCGUUUACCUAAGCAAUUAGGUUUUAUAUAGGUCAUUUAGCAUCAAACCCUUACAUUUACAAAACCCUUCGGCAGCCCUAAUAUCGCUAUUAACCUCGAAAAUAAUCCAAAUUAAAUCGGAUUCAACAUGCUAACAAAGGUCAAUUAGAGGCUAAUAGAAUAUUAAAGCUAAGAAUUAAUGUCAAAUCCCAAAUGCGCUUUCAUCCUCAUGUGAACACGCCGCGACGAAAAUAACGCCGCUCCACGGUCCCGCCGAAAGCUCAAUCGUCGCCUCCAACGCUUCGCAAGCUCGAUCUCCACCAACUUAUGUCUCAUCAAGACGAGAUACUAGAAGCGGACUGAACGAGAGAGAAUUUAGAGAGAGAAAGGGGGUUUCCUCCGCCCCUUUCUAUGCGUGGUGUGUGGGUGUGUCGGCCAUGGUUGGGCGCCUGGAUGGAGGAGAAGAAGCUAAUUAGCUUGUAUUAAAGUCCAACACCAACACUAUUCACUCCAGGCAACUUAAAAUCUGUAUAUCUUCGCCGGAGCUCCUGACAUGUCCGUUUGAGAUCCAACUUGACAGUCAUGUUCCGGUUAUUACUUAACUUAAACAAGCUGACGAUUCACUGGCUUCAGUUCGACCCCGUUUGUUCACUGAAAACUGUACCGAACUGCAAUCUUUAUCAGAUAGCUUUCGGAUUUUAUUUCUCACUCUAUGGGUGUCAGAAAAAUAUGAAACCUUAAAUCUAGCCUCAUAAAAAUAUUUCUGACAUCUCCGCCAAUUUUCAUAAUUUUCUGAGACUGUGCAUUUUCUGCUUAUUUUUUCUGUCCCGUCUCCAACAGAAAAUUCUAGAUCUUCUGUUUUAAUUCCGAUUUCAGCACAAGUCACCUCUGACUUAUGUUUUACCUCUAUAAAUCUAAUAAAAAUAGUUUCUCACACUAUUUUUAUUUAUUAUUAUUUUUAUACCAAAAUCUGGUAUAUUACAAGAUGAAUACUGCUCAACCAUGUUGUCUCUACUUAGAAUGAUUUGCAUAAGUAAAUAAGCAACUAUCACAGGUAUGUACAUGAGAGUAAUCAAUAUGCAAAUGUAUGAGUAUGCAACUAUCCCAAUGUCUACAAUGUGAAUAGCAAUAAUGUCAUUGUUCACUAUUCUAGUCAAUGUCCACUUGUCACUUUAAUUGUUUAAAGUUCAACUCUGAUAAGACACACCCGAAGGCUGUCUAGCAUAAGACCCACCCGAAGGCUGUCUGGCUUUACCUUGCCUAAUGGUGGCCCCGUGGUAGUCAACAUCCCCACCCUAGGAAUGAGCCUUUUCCACGGCAAUCCACUUCGGCGCCCAAUCCCGCACGGCGAAUGUAUCGCGAUGGCCAACUCCGGAGUGCCGGCUUGUAGGGAGCGACCCUCACAAGCAUGUGAGAAUGAGCACAAUGGCAAACAUGCGUAUAAGUCUGUCUCAAGUCUUAAGUCCUCAUGUCAAUGAAUAUGGAAAGUAUCGAAUGUCACAAAGACCUAUCACUAUGUCAUCAUGUCUCUAACAUGGAAUAUAGUAACUGUCUCAAUGGCCUAUCUCUAUAUCAUCAUGUCUAAAAUAUGGAAUAUAGUAACUGUCUCAAUGGCCUAUUUCUAUGUCAUCAUGUCUAAAACAUGGAAUAUAGCAGAUUUCGAGUGGCCUAUCAUCAUGUCUCUAAGUUGUAGUUCAACGAUUUUCUAGUUCAAGUGCCCCUUUAUGACACUUUUGCCUACUAUGUCCCAAUAUGAAUAAUAAGUCUAAAAGCUUGUUAUUCUAAUUAUUUUUCACACAAGAAAAUGAUCUUACAUCAUUCAUUAGAACAUUAAACUCAUGCAUACUAACAAUGCAUAUGCUUCUCUCUACAACAUAGAGUCAAUUUUUCAUGAUGCAUAACAUAGGAAUUUUAAGCAUUCUAAAAUUCAUAUAAAUUCUAUUCAACAUGGAUAUGCAUGCAUUUAUAGUAUACGAGAACAUUUAACCACGUAGGAGGCAUUUCCCCCUAUUUCAAUGAAGCCAAACCCACCAAAGUCUCGCAACUCCUUCGUUUGCUCCGACGAAGGUGUCCACUAGUCUUCUAGCACCCUAGAGGUGUAGAAACAAGAGUUAAACGAAUCUUACGAACAAAGCUAAGCUCAAACAUUAAGCUAUCCAAGCUAAGGGGAAGAAAACUCACCGUACGCGAAGGAAUCUCUCUCGAUCUCCAAAAGGGAGCUAGAUUCCUUCAAAUCCAACCUAAAUCAAAGUUCUAAAUCAAUCAAUUUGGUUCUAAAAGCUACAAAUCCAAAACCCCCAUUUCUAACCCUAAAAUUCAAAAUCUAGGGUUUCCAACAAGUAGAAACUACAAAACUCGAUCCAAUAGGGAGAUUAAGUAUACUAACCUCACAAGAUGCUUAAAACCAAGCUCCAAGUCAAGUGGAGUUGAAGAUCUCCUCUCAAACAAGCUCCUCUCCAAACUCCAAGUCUUCAACAAUGGAGAAAACCCAACAAAAAGUAAGGUGGAGAAGAGAGGAGAGAUCAAAACAAACCAAACUCCAUCAAAAAUGGAGAAGAAGUUAAAGGGGAAGAGUCUCAACUUGUUCUCCACUGGUUAGGGCUCAAAAAGAGCAGCUAUGGGAGCUGGGGUGAUAUUUAAAGGGGUUGCAACAAUUGCAAAAACACCCUUCCACGAAACAGCCCAAACUGCACUGCGUACCGGUACACGGGUUUGUGUAUCGGUACACAUCCCAUGAACCAGCCCAACCCGAGCCUCAGGUUGGCGCACAGGCUGCCAGGGCCGAUGGCUGUACCGGUACAGCCAUCACCGCGUACCGGUACACGGCCCUGCAGCAUGCUACCCGAGAGCACACCAAAAUCCAACCGUUUGGGUUUUGGUGCCAAGUUUUAAACCUCAAUUCUCGGGACUCGAACCAUAGGUGAGAACACUAUCCACGACCCUCCACGGAGUGUGAAAAAGUUCGAAACACAAAUUAAAUACUCGAACCUCACUA
This 17564-nucleotide long non-coding RNA is filed under the name Ananas comosus (pineapple). Its description in RNAcentral is "long non-coding RNA (ACOM_LNC003720)". The record is from RNAcentral. Lineage: Eukaryota; Viridiplantae; Streptophyta; Magnoliopsida; Poales; Bromeliaceae.